Molecule: ribosomal RNA, 497 nt
Filed under: uncultured bacterium
Lineage: Bacteria
Description: partial 16S ribosomal RNA
Rfam family: Bacterial small subunit ribosomal RNA
Source: RNAcentral
GACGAACGCUGGCGGCGUGCCUAAUACAUGCAAGUAGAACGCUGAAGAGAGGAGCUUACUCUUCUUGGAUGAGUUGCGAACGGGUGAGUAACGCGUAGGUAACCUGCCUUGUAGCGGGGGAUAACUAUUGGAAACGAUAGCUAAUACCGCAUAACAAUGGAUGACACAUGUCAUUUAUUUGAAAGGGGCAAUUGCUCCACUACAAGAUGGACCUGCGUUGUAUUAGCUAGUAGGUGAGGUAAUGGCUCACCUAGGCGACGAUACAUAGCCGACCUGAGAGGGUGAUCGGCCACACUGGGACUGAGACACGGCCCAGACUCCUACGGGAGGCAGCAGUAGGGAAUCUUCGGCAAUGGGGGCAACCCUGACCGAGCAACGCCGCGUGAGUGAAGAAGGUUUUCGGAUCGUAUAGCACUGUUGUAAGUCAAGAACGGGUGUGAGAGUGGAAAGUUCACACUGUGACGGUAGCUUACCAGAAAGGGACGGCUAACUACGUU